This is a non-coding RNA of Phoenix dactylifera (date palm), 4146 nucleotides long. The record is from RefSeq and is a predicted model, not a curated record. Lineage: Eukaryota; Viridiplantae; Streptophyta; Magnoliopsida; Arecales; Arecaceae.
UAUUUCAGUCAAAAAUGAUAUUUUUAGAUUAUCUCGACUUGGUAAUCCAAAAUGGAAAAAUAAAUACCAUUUUUCGACGGUAUUUAUUUUACCUUCUUUUUUAGAAAAAGAGAUAUGCGAUCCACCAUUUAUUUUACCUUUUUUUAGAAAAAUAGAUAUGCAAGCCAUUUUGGGUGAGGUCCUGCGUUGUUAUAAAUGAUAUCAGAGCGAACUCGGUCCAUAGCCUAUGUGGACUACGGAACACUGCAGCCGGGUUCAUGGAGGCUGACCACAAACUUAUCGUGGUGCUUGUGAUUGGAUUUGAAUUGAUUUGAACCCUUAGUCUGAUGAGGACGUCAGGGCUUGAACGGGGGGAGUAUGUAAGGACCCAUGUAGGCGUGUGUUUAGUCCCACAUUGGUUAUUCGCCGAGAAGAUCUUGGGUACUUAUACAUAAUCAAGAAACCCAAAUAAUACAUUCUGGUUAGCCAUUUUGGAUGAGGUCCUGGGUUAUUAUAACUAUAGUUUGAAAGAUUAUUCUGUAAGGAUAUUAUAUGGUUGGAGAAAAUGUUAGAACUGAUAUGGCAUAAAAUCAAUCCACCUAUCGUGGAUCGACAUGUGGCAAGCAGUUUCAAGCAGAUUUGAAUUUUGGGCGGUUACAUUUUUGCAAUUAAGAAGGUCUAGAAACAAAAGGAUGGUUAUGACUCAUAAGAAAUUAUGGCUCAUCCCUUGACUUCCGCCUAAACGGAUCCUUGCUCCAACACCUAUAUAAAUAUGGCUAAUAGAAAAAAUAUUAGAUACCUCAACCUCGGACUGACUGACCUCGACAACCUCUGCCCUGAUCGAGGAGAGCAACUUCGGUUCUGAUCGAGGAGCCAACUGACCGAAGUGAGGAAGUAAGCAAUUUUACCUCCAACCAAGGAGCCUAUUCGACACAUGCCGACAGGGACUGACAAUCCUAACAACCGACGGCCCCGACAGCCUACAGUCAUGGCGACACCCUAGUUUGCGCCCGAUUGGCACUGUAUGCCACCCAUGCGGACUAACUCCACGCUGCGGCCAUUCUAUUGACCGUUAUCUAGCCAUCAGUGCACGCCACAUUAGCCCAGAUAACGAUAAAAUUAAGCUCUCCUAUAUAAAGAGGCGGCCUGGGGGCCCCACCUUAGGGAUGAUGUUCAUUCCUCACAAAGAGUUACAUUAUGCUGAACUCUUUUUUCUUUACACACUGUUUGCCUCUCCAUUCUGACUUAGACAUCGGAAGGUCCUCAGCUAGAAAUUCUCUAGCAAGUGAACUUUUUACAGGCCAUCCCCGAAGGAGACCAAUGCCCAGUGCCACCACUAGUCUGCUCAGCUCGACUCCAGCCGAUCCCAAAGUCGUCUGAGCUGUGCUCCGACCUCGGUUCGGAUUCUGUGGCAACAACAACCAAGGGACUCCAAACAGAGAGGGCACUCAUAUCUCAAAGUUCUCAUGGUAAGAAGCUCUCAAGCCCUUAUCCAUUAUUCUGCUUUUCUUUUUUGGCAAGUUAGUCGGUAUAUGAGCUGUCAUGGUUGAGGUGAAAGUCAAGGCUGAGAUGGAGAGCGAUGUCGAGGUGAAGGUCGAUGCUGAGGUGAGAAACCAUGGCUGAGGCGAGAAGACCGAAAGGAAUGCUAAGGCCAAGAUCGAGUUGAAGACCGAGGCCGAGGUGAGAAGACCGAGGCCGAGGUGAGAAGCUAAGGCCGAGGUGAAGUCAAAGGCCGAGAUGAGAAAGUUGAGUUCGAGAUGAAAGCUAAAGCUAAGGCUAAGGUGAGAAGGCCAAGGUGAAAGUUGAGGCUGAGACUAAGGUGAAGGCUAGAGUUCAAUUGAAGGCUAAAGCUAAGGUGAAGACGGAGGCCGAACCCCUAAAGCUGACCAGGCAGGCCUGAGAAGGCUGAAAUGAAAAGGCCAAGAUAAGAAGGCCGAUAUGACAAGGCCGACUUGAGAAAGCCAAGAUAAAAAGGCCUAAGUGAGAAGACCAACUAGAAGAACGACAAUAUUGUUAUUUUAACGUCCUUCGUAAUUUAGGCAUUGGAAGAGUCAAUCCAACGAGCCUUUCUCUUCUUGUUAUGUGCAGAUCAGUAUCUCUACGCGAAUUGAUUAGUACUCUCUAGAUCUCCGUAGGGUAGGAUUUUGGCAAACUAUCAUAAGUGGAUUUUUUUGUCUCAACAAAGUUGUCUUUGGACAGUUGCAAAAAAAUAGCUAAAAUAUUAUCCCCCAAUAAUUCAAUCGUCCAUAAGUAUUCAACACAAACACGAAUCUAUCAACUUGAAAGCAAAAGGGUCAUAUCGUGGUGGAGGAAAAGAAAUCAAAACAAGACAGCCAAGUUAGGAGCAGGCAAAAUGCUCCUCGUCGUCGAAACAGGCACGCCAAUGAUGACUUCAAGCAAUCGGCAAGAGAGAACACGGGGCAACGAGGAGAGCCAGAUCCACGCUUGAUCUCAGAGAAGGCAUCACGAUAAUUUAUCAAACGAGUGGGUUGAUUUGUCAUCGAGCCAGCUGUGCUCGCCGAUGAUCGGAAGAGGCCUUGCAAAGCCUCGCCUCUAGCAAGGGAGUAGCAACAGUCUAAGGGCAAGAGAGAGGGCUUUAAGAAAGAGAGAGGAUUCGAAGAAGAAGAAGAGGGGGCAGAAUGGUGAUGACGAGGGAUAGUGAGAACCCCAAUUCCAUUGUCAUAACAAUCCCCCUCUCCACCCUCCUCUCCUCGCCCCAUCCAAACACAGCCUAAGAUUAUUUUUUAGAGAAUUCUCACCUACUUGGAAGCACAAGUUCACAACAUCCUUCGAGCAAGCCACACGCAAUGCAAGAGGAGUGCAGCUAAAACCAUGGAUAUAGGCUCGAAUUUUUUUUCCUGUUCCUUUCUUUCCCUCUAUUUAAAUUAGAGGAAUUUUAUCCAUUCAUUGAAAGCCUGCAUUUGUCUGGACUGCCGAGGAGAAGAAGAAAGAGAAAAUAACAGCACUUCAUAUUGUUCCUUGACAUUAAAACCGAUUGCUGCUCAUUUUGUAGUCAUGGACUACCCCAACAGAGAUGAACAAGCUGAUUUAAACGCAGCUUAAUCAAGAUCACCGUUGGCUACCGUGGAGGCACUGGGGAGAGAGUUACCAGAAGAAGUGGGGCAGUCUGAAUUUUGAAAUUAAUCAAGUCCAACCCGAACCGAAGUUAUUUGGAUCAGGCUUGGAUUCGACCCACUUUUGACCCAAAAAAGGCCAAUGAGCUGAUGAAGUUAAUAUCAUAUCAUACUCGAUCAAUUCAAACUUGACUGAAAAUGAAUUGACUUUGGAUUCAAUUUUUUUUUUUUUGACCCAAUUCAGCCACAGGAUUGAUGCAUUGAGGCACCUCUCAUCAAGUGGCGGGUUACAUCUCCACAACUAGAUCACCAUUUGACUACUGAAAUUAUAGCUCACCUCUGACAAGCAAGAGACAAUAACACUUACAGUUCAUCACCUACUACAAAAAAAAUUGACAAAUAAAAUAAAUUUUUAUACUUUAUAAAAAUAUUAUCUAUUCAUAUUUAUAUACAGUAAGUUUAAUCACGCUGAAUAUGAGCUUGGGUCAUUUGCGGAGGAUGCUUAUCAAGCAAUACAAGUUCCUCAGUAACAGCCUGCCUGAAGAACCACAUCUUUCUCAGGGGAAAGAGAAUAAAAAAUAAAAACAAAAAUAGACGGGAGAGAUAAAAGCAGAUACACCCCUCAUUACAGGUGAACACCACCUAAUCCUGUACCACCUCGUUAAGAGAUACUCGCCAAACACCUUCCAAUCAUCAAAUAUUACAUGUUCAUGCAAGAAUCUAGGAAGGGAUGAUAGAAAUAUUCCAACACGGAUUAGAUUUCUUUUAUUUAUAGCGCACAGUAGAUUCUUCUUCUUCUUAUUUAUUAUUGCGUAUCAAUUUCAUGCUUAAUCAGCUUACUUCCUAAAUUCCUAGUUGUGCUGAUGAAAUUAAAGGCCUUUCCUUUAAGCUCCCCUUAGUUUUCUCGGUUUAUGUCCAGGCAAAAGCACAGCUGCUGGUUUUACCAGCAUUUUAACUACCCAUAGAAGUGAAAACAUAAGGUAUUCUUAGAAAUGCAUAUUCUAUUUGAAAAACAAAUAAUCACAACAUGUCAUGCCAAAGAGAUGGAAAGAGUAACCAAAAGAAAGGCUGAAAUAGUGAUAAAUUUAAAAAA